UACGGGGGGAGCAAGCGUUGUUCGGAAUUACUGGGCGUAAAGCGUGCGUAGGCGGUUUGUUAAGUCCGCUGUGAAAGCCCUGGGCUCAACCUGGGAAUUGCAGUGGAUACUGGCAAGCUAGAGUGCGGUAGAGGAUGGUGGAAUUCCCGGUGUAGCGGUGAAAUGCGUAGAGAUCGGGAGGAACACCUGUGGCGAAGGCGGCCAUCUGGACCAGCACUGACGCUGAGGCACGAAAGCGUGGGGAGCAAACGGG
Molecule: ribosomal RNA, 253 nt
Filed under: uncultured bacterium
Lineage: Bacteria
Description: partial 16S ribosomal RNA
Rfam family: Bacterial small subunit ribosomal RNA
Source: RNAcentral